This 253-nucleotide ribosomal RNA is filed under the name uncultured bacterium. RNAcentral's name for it is "partial 16S ribosomal RNA". It matches the Rfam family "Bacterial small subunit ribosomal RNA", at positions 524 to 776 of the family's 1533-position model. The record is from RNAcentral.
UACGUAGGGUGCGAGCGUUAAUCGGAAUUACUGGGCGUAAAGCGUGCGCAGGCGGUUUUGUAAGCCAGAUGUGAAAUCCCCGGGCUUAACCUGGGAAUGGCAUUUGGGACUGCAAGGCUGGAGUGUGGCAGAGGAGACUGGAAUUCCCGGUGUAGCGGUGAAAUGCGCAGAUAUCGGGAGGAACACCAAUUGCGAAGGCAGCUCGCUGGGACGUUACUGACGCUGAGACGCGAAAGCGUGGGGAGCAAACAGG